Molecule: ribosomal RNA, 764 nt
Filed under: uncultured organism
Description: bacterial SSU rRNA
Rfam family: Bacterial small subunit ribosomal RNA
Source: RNAcentral
GGCGUGAAAGGCAGGGGCUCAACCUCUGGACUGCGUUGGAUACUUCCGUGCUUGAGGACUGGAGGGGAGACUGGAAUUCACGGUGUAGCAGUGAAAUGCGUAGAUAUCGUGAGGAAGACCGGUGGCGAAGGCGAGUCUCUGGACAGAUCCUGACGCUGAGGCACGAAGGCUGGGGGAGCGAACAGGAUUAGAUACCCUGGUAGUCCCAGCAGUAAACGAUGUGAGCUUGAUGUGGGGGGAUUCGACCCCUUCCGUGUCGAAGCUAACGCGAUAAGCUCACCGCCUGAGGAGUACGGCCGCAAGGCUAAAACUCAAAGAAAUUGACGGGGACCCGCACAAGCGGUGGAGUAUGUGGCUUAAUUCGAUGCAACGCGAAGAACCUUACCUGGCCUUGACAUGCAUUGUGUCGUCGGUGAAAGCCGGCUAGUCCUGGAAACAGGACGCUUUGCACAGGUGCUGCAUGGCUGUCGUCAGCUCGUGUCGUGAGAUGUUGGGUUAAGUCCCGCAACGAGCGCAACCCUUGUGGUCAGUUACUAACCGGCUUAGCCGGAGGACUCUGGCCAGACUGCCCUGUCAAACGGGGAGGAAGGUGGGGACGACGUCAAGUCAGUAUGGCCCUUAUGGCCAGGGCUGCACACGUACUACAAUGCCCGGUACAAUGUGAACCGAAACCGCGAGGUGGAGGAAAUCGCUCUUGAAAACCGGGCCCAGUUCGGAUUGGAGUCUGCAACUCGACUCCAUGAAGUCGGAAUCGCUAGUAAUGG